Acinonyx jubatus (cheetah) is the source of this 3537-nucleotide long non-coding RNA. RefSeq lists it as uncharacterized. The transcript has 3 exons. The record is from RefSeq and is a predicted model, not a curated record. Lineage: Eukaryota; Metazoa; Chordata; Mammalia; Carnivora; Felidae.
UCUCCCUACACAUGAAUAGAUCAGUAUUUAUCUAAAGGCUCAGUAUCCCCAUGCAGAUUUCUGGAGCUCUUUGAUUGUAUAGUGUCCUCCUUUCCAGUACUCUGUGCCCUACAAUCUAGCUGCCCAUGGCCUUCAUGAUCUCUGUUUGGGUUCCUCCUUCUGGGGAAGAGAUUUAUCAUAGAAAUUUCCCCCAGGUUAAGCUGGUACAAUUGGAGGGUUUACCUUGUGUUUUCUUUUCUACUGGGGAUCAUAGUUCUACAUUGCUUGUUGCCUGAUGUCUGAGCACAAUUGUUUAAUACAAUCUGUUCUGUCUUGUAUUUUGUUUUUACAAUGGGGUUAGGAGGUAUUUCAUAGGAGUUUCUCCUUCAUAGAUAGAAGAAAAGUUGAAAUUAAGCCAUUUGCAUAAUCACAGAGAUAGGCGAUGGCAGAACUGGGUCUUAAACUCAGAUAUGACAAACGUCAAAGCCUAUGUUUUUCACUCUUUUUUUUCUUUAAUAUUUAUUUAUUUUUGAGAGAGACAGACUGUGAGUGAGGGAGGGGCAAAGAGAGAAGGAGACACAGAAUCCGAAGCAGUCUCCAGGCUCUGAGCUGUCAGCACAGGGCCCCAUGGCUCGAACUCAUGAACUGUGAGAUUGUGACCUGAGCUGAAGUUGAACACUUAAUCAGCUGAGCCACCCAGGGGCCCCCUAUGUUUUUCACUCUUAUCAAGAUCCUGUUCUCCCCCCAACCUCUCUCUCUCUUUUUCAAAUAUCACAUUCCAGAAAGAAGUCAAGUAAAAAUUCUAUCAGUGAAAAGAAAAUUGGUUAUUUUGCUUGCUGGUAAUUUCAGUAAAAAGGGUUAGCCAGGGAGUUUGCUAUUAGAGUUGGGCUGCUUCUCAGAAGUGCCAUUGCCAAAGUGAGCUUUCAUUUAUUUUCUUCCCCUGUGAGUGAGUGGAGAAAGCGUGGGACAGCUCUUCAUUUAUUUGCUCACUCGUUUACCAAUUCUAUCAUUGAUUCAUCCAUUCAAGAUUAUUUAUGGAACACCUACUGUGUUCCGGGCACUAGGCUUCUCUUUGAGAGGGGAAGGGAGAGGGAACUCCUAAAGAUCUUCUUUCACUGUCUUUCCCCCUCUCCUUGCUCGCUCCCCCAAACCUUUAACAUGAGCAUGUGGAAAGGGCCCAGAUGGUGACAUUGUAGGUUUGUCUCUCCCUGGAUUCUGGUGGAGCUUCUGAGUGGUUAGGAGGGAAGUUAAGGCCUCUUUCCCUAUUAAAAUAAGCGCCAGGAUCCCUGGGAGGAUAUCACACAUUAAGCUAUUGUCAGCUGAACCUUAGCCAGCCAUUAAUGUUUCAGGGAAGAUUUAUUAAGUGCUAACUGGGAGUAAGGAUGGAGAACAGCACAGACCCCUUGGGAAUCCUUGGGACAGAAGGCGAAGGCAAGGGAAUUCUCACAAGAAAGGUGGCAAGAGAGACUGAAAUUUUGCCUCAAGCUGAGCCGUCUAAGGAUCUGGCUCUUGCCCUCUUCGGUCUGGGUGUCAUAAUGACAACCAAGGUGAGUGACAUCUUGUAGGUUAUGAGUCCUUCCCAAGCUCAUUUUGUCCUGUCUCUCGAUAGCCCCUGGAAGUAAACAUCAACACCGCAGAAGAGAUGGAAGCUUGGAGAAGGGAAGUCACGGGCUCAAGUCAUGCAGCUGGGAGGCAGGGAGAGGUGGAGAAACUGGAUGGACACAGCCUCCCCCAUGCAGGAUGUAUCACCUGGGACCAGGGGAAGAAACUGAAAUUCCUGUGGGCAGAUGGAGCAUGGGAGUUCCACGUGACUUCCUCUGUGCUGCUCAUGCCACAGCCCCAGUAACGCUGAGCACAGAGUUGGUGCUCAAUAAAACUUCCUCAAGGGCAGGGUGAUGACGGUGACGGUGGCAGUGGCAUUGGUGGCGACGAGAAGGACUCGUUAAUCUCCUCCUUCCUUCCCAGGUUCAGAUUUGUUUUUCCUUUUCCGACCUACCGCCGCCUCAGAGCCUCACCCUGGGACUUUCUGGUAUCCCGAGGAUAACAGGCAGCACCUGUUGCAAAGAACAGCCCACAGAGUGAGCUUUUAAAAGGAGACGGCUCAGCGUUGGGGAGGAAGGCAAGGCCCCGGAGGCCAUAACGGGAAACAGUGGCGGUUUCGUGGCCCGAGGCCUGAGAUGGUGGAGUGAGUUUAUCGAAUGCUAUCCAGUGAUGAUUACUUGUUACUGAACAUUGACGUAUCUCUCAACACCGGCCGGGAUCUUUUACGAUGCCUGUUACUAAGCCAACAGGGGUAUACCUGUGUCCGAAAGUGGAAUGCUUGCAUUUGGUGGGACUGGAAUGUUUUUUAUUCUCAGAUGUCCGGGUUCAUCUCCGCAGCUGGUUGUAUAAAUAUCAAAGAACAAAAUGUCAAGGGCAGUGUUUGACCCUGCCCCUGGGUUAGGGGUGCAGGGGAUCUGGUAUGGGGCGUAACAACUCCGAAUCAACCAGACAGGCUCUGCAGGAGUCCUUGAGAUGAGAUGCUGGCCACAGCUCCUGUGGCUCAAUCGGCCCUCUUGAGGGCCUUUGCAUUCCCGCGUGGAUCGUUGCUGCGGCUGUUGGUGCGUAUUGUCGCCGUUCAUGGUGCGGCGUCUGUCGUCUGUCUUCGGCAUUGGACUGUGAGCUUUUUGAGGGCACGGACUACAUCUGAAUUGUCUUUUUUAUCCUUAACAUAGGACCUGGCGUGCGGUAGACGCUUCAUAAAUGUUUCUUGACCGCGUAAGUAGAACGAACAUACGUGAGUAGAUAUGUGAGGCACGCGUCAUAUAAUGUAGGCACACAUCGUAUACAGAGGAAGCAAUCAUCAAAACGCCACCUGUUGGCAGAGGUUAGCUCUUCCCUCUGUUCCUGGGCUGCGGUCCGUGACCCCUUCCCCUUUUCGCCCACAGCCCUCCUCCUCAGGCUGACCGUCCCCAAACAAGAAUUGCCAAGCUCUGCCAGUCUCUCUCUGCCACCAAAAGCCCAAGCUCAGGCCACAGGGAUGAAAUGUUCUUUUGUUAACUGGCUGUUGAUCAACUCCUUCUGUAUCACUGUGAUGCAGUAUAAUUUAAGGAAUGUCAAAAGACACAACAUUUCUGAAAUAACGAAAAUAUUCACUAAAAUGUGCUAUGUAAGUAACACAUGCUUCUUGUAGCAGCUAAAAAAUAUAAAGAAAAAAAAGAAAAUAGAAAUCACCUGUAAUCCCACCAUCCAGAAUUAAUAGCUGUUAUUUACCUAGGACAUUUAUCUCUCUAUCAUCUCUAUUUCUAGUUCUGUCAUCUCUCUCUCUCGCUCUAUCAUCUCCAUAUCUCACUCUCUAUCAUCUCUAUCUCUAUCCCUGACACCAUUUAUAUAAUUUAAAUAAGUGAUUUUUACAAAUAUGGAAUCAAACUGUACUAAUUCUAAUAGCUGAUAUUUAUAGAGGACCUUCUAUGUGCAGGCAUUCUUCUAAUCUUUUUUUGUUCUGGCUUAAUCCUCAAAAUAAUACUAAGAGGUAAGUAUUAAUACAAUCAUCCCCAAAUGAGGGAUGAGGAAACGGAA